GCACUCGGUGAGAGGGGUUGAGAUUGUUUUAUUCCACUCCAGGUGUUGCUGUCCUCUUGGGUUCCACUUCGGAUUUUGAACCCCUGUAUUUUCUUUUCAAAACCCCCUUUUCCAAUGGAAAUGCUCUGUUGUUAAAAAGGAAGAAACUGUCUUUCUGAAACUGACAUCACGAUGCUCCCAGAUUUUAUGCUGGUUCUCAUCGUCCUUGGCAUCCCUUCCUCAGGAAUGGUUCCAGUGUCUAGGAAUGCAAGAGGAAAUAAAAACAAAGCCAUUUUCUAAUAAGCUCUCAGCUGGGCAUCAUGGCUCACACCUGUAAUCCCAACACUUUGGGAGGCCAAGACGGAAAGUGCACCUUCUGACAGUGGUAACACAGGUGGAGAUGUAUGCUGUGCGUGAAAGAGCAGAGCUGCUUGCUGCCCCUGGAUCUUGGUGAAGAGCAGGAUUCCUGUACCUUCACAGGGAGCACAGCUGCCCACCACAGGUUUCAACUCAAUCGCCGAAAAUGAAGAUGCCC
This 514-nucleotide small RNA is filed under the name Pan troglodytes (chimpanzee). RNAcentral describes it as "processed transcript". Lineage: Eukaryota; Metazoa; Chordata; Mammalia; Primates; Hominidae. The record is from RNAcentral.